Molecule: ribosomal RNA, 519 nt
Filed under: uncultured bacterium
Lineage: Bacteria
Description: partial 16S ribosomal RNA
Source: RNAcentral
AGCGACUGUGCAGGUUACCGCGGCUGCUGGCACGGAGUUAGCCGGUGCUUCUUCUGUGAGUGAUGUCCUUCCUGCCGGUUAUUGACCCGCAGGCCUUCUUCCUCACUGAAAGUGCUUUACAACCCGAAGGCCUUCUUCACACACGCGGCAUGGCUGGAUCAGGGUUGCCCCCAUUGUCCAAUAUUCCCCACUGCUGCCUCCCGUAGGAGUCUGGGCCGUGUCUCAGUCCCAGUGUGGCUGAUCAUCCUCUCAGACCAGCUACGGAUCGUCGCCUUGGUGAGCCGUUACCUCACCAACCAGCUAAUCCGACAUAGGCUCAUCCGAUAGCGCGAGGCCCGAAGGUCCCCCGNUUUCCCCCGUAGGGCGUAUGCGGUAUUAGCCUGGGUUUCCCCAGGUUAUCCCCCGACUACCGGGCAGAUUCCUAUGCAUUACUCACCCGUCCGCCGCUCGCACCAGGGAGCAAGCUCCCCGUGCUGCCGCUCGACUUGCAUGUGUUAGGCCUGCCGCCAGCGUUCAAUC